Molecule: ribosomal RNA, 117 nt
Filed under: Leptolyngbya sp. SIO1E4
Lineage: Bacteria; Bacillati; Cyanobacteriota; Cyanophyceae; Leptolyngbyales; Leptolyngbyaceae
Source: RNAcentral
CCUGGUGCCUAUGGCGGUGUGGAACCACUCCGACCCUUCCCGAACUCGGUCGUGAAACGCACCUGCGGCGAAGAUACUUUGGGGGUCGCCCCAUGGGAAAUUAGCUCGGUGCCAGGU